GCAAACUUGGUCAUUUAGAGGAAGUAAAAGUCGUAACAAGGUUUCCGUAGGUGAACCUGCGGAAGGAUCAUUAUCGAAUGAAUUUAGAGUUGGUUGUCGCUGGCCCCAACACACAAGGGCAUGUGCACGCCUUCUCUCCUUCAUCCACACACACCUGUGCACUUGUGAGACGGAGGAUUGAAAAGUCCUCUGCCUACUUAAUCACACAAACUCAUCCUAACUUGAACCGAAUGUAAUUGAUGUAACGCAUCAUUGGAACUAAGUUUCAACAACGGAUCUCUUGGCUCUCGCAUCGAUGAAGAACGCAGC
This 309-nucleotide unclassified non-coding RNA is filed under the name uncultured fungus. Its description in RNAcentral is "partial contains small subunit ribosomal RNA, internal transcribed spacer 1, and 5.8S ribosomal RNA". The stretch from base 1 to 73 matches the Rfam family "Eukaryotic small subunit ribosomal RNA", at positions 1759 to 1831 of the family's 1831-position model. The record is from RNAcentral. Lineage: Eukaryota; Fungi.